This 414-nucleotide ribosomal RNA is filed under the name uncultured Gammaproteobacteria bacterium. Its description in RNAcentral is "bacterial SSU rRNA". It matches the Rfam family "Bacterial small subunit ribosomal RNA", at positions 9 to 429 of the family's 1533-position model. Lineage: Bacteria; Pseudomonadati; Pseudomonadota; Gammaproteobacteria. The record is from RNAcentral.
GAGUUUGAUCUUGGCUCAGAGUGAACGCUGGCGGCAGGCCUAACACAUGCAAGUCGAGCGGCAGCGCGGGGCAACCUGGCGGCGAGCGGCGGACGGGUGAGGAAUGCAUCGGAAUCUACCCUGUCGUGGGGGAUAACGUAGGGAAACUUACGCUAAUACCGCAUACGACCGAGAGGUGAAAGUGGGGGACCGCAAGGCCUCACGCGAUUGGAUGAGCCGAUGCCGGAUUAGCUAGUUGGUGAGGUAAAGGCUCACCAAGGCGACGAUCCGUAGCUGGUCUGGAGGAUGAUCAGCCACACUGGGACUGAGACACGGCCCAGACUCCUACGGGAGGCAGCAGUGGGGAAUAUUGGACAAUGGGCGCAAGCCUGAUCCAGCCAUGCCGCGUGUGUGAAGAAGGCCUUCGGUUGUAAG